Molecule: long non-coding RNA, 593 nt
Organism: Manis pentadactyla (Chinese pangolin)
Lineage: Eukaryota; Metazoa; Chordata; Mammalia; Pholidota; Manidae
Exons: 3
Source: RefSeq, a predicted model, not a curated record
AAUUCGAUCACUCAGCCUGUGUUUAUGGAGCAUCUCUGCCAUGCAGUCCUCCUGUACUCUCUGACAAGGCUUGCCUAAACCAACGUGCUCUGUCUCUCCAGGUAUUAUUCGCUAGCUCUAAAUUCCCAGGUAACAGUUCCAAACUUCCCAGUAGUGGGAUGGAGGAUGGAUCAGAGAGGCGUGAGUGUUAAACAAAGGUCAGAGUCCAGGGCCAGUGAAGUUUAUCUUUCCUUGUGUUAUUUGCAUGGCAAAGGUUCAGGUACUAAAUUAACAAGAAGUUGCAAAGACCUUAAAAAAAAAAAAGGCAGGAGGCCAAGAAUAUUUCUUCCUCCUCUCUCUUCACGCCCUAGAAUAUAUCUUAAAACAAAUAGGCUUCUUCAUAUUUCUCUGGUGUUCAAAGGAGAUGUACAGUGAAGCCAGGAUUUCUGAAACAAUGUGCUUCCAGCCGAGCAUGGCAGCUCCUGGCCAUGGCCUCUCCUGCCCAGAGAGAUGGACCAAGGAUUAAGUCAGGAUGGGCUCAAUGAGAGCAUGAAAACAGGGGUCUCAUUACAGACCUGUGUGUUGGAUAUGACCCAGCAGGUCUCGGCCACGAA